Apis laboriosa (Himalayan honeybee) is the source of this 943-nucleotide long non-coding RNA. RefSeq lists it as uncharacterized. Lineage: Eukaryota; Metazoa; Arthropoda; Insecta; Hymenoptera; Apidae. The record is from RefSeq and is a predicted model, not a curated record. The transcript has 2 exons.
AUCGGAUACACGAUCAGGUCGCUCAACUCGCCGACCUUUCGCCAUUGCGAGGGUGGCUUCUCCUUCUGCUUUUUGGACCACCACCACCACCAAAGGAAGACGACCACGGUUCCGGCCCCGACAACGGCCGCAGACACAGAACGUAUUCCGGGGAAAGGAGGCAAGGAGAGAAGUUAUUUGCGGAAAAAAAACAAAUAAAGAAAUAUCCACCGAGGAUAUUCUCAUUUCUGAUGAAGUAUCUUUCGUCGCUACUUAAAUCUGUCUCAAUCAAUGUGAAAUUUUUUUUGCACCUGUGUAAAAUUCAUCCAAUAAAUAGGCAUCUAUAAUAGGCGCUGUCAGACAUUUAUUUUUCAAGCAAUAUAUGGAAUCCGGAAUUGCAAAUCAUUUAAGACACAAUUAUUAAUUCGCGAUGUGAACGAGGCAUCUUUUUUUCAAUGGAAUCUCCCGUGUGUAUCGCCGUUCUAUAUUUGCAUCUUAUACGAUUUCGAAAAAUUGGCUCCAAGCGAUACAAAUUCGAACAACGAUUAACGGUAUUCGAACGAAUGGAAUACCGGCAUCCUUCUCGGCCAGCUUGGAACAAAUAAAAUGUAAAUUGUUGAAAUUGACAUCCAUUCGUCCGUGAGAAAAUUGGAACGGAACGUAACGGAAUAUCACGGUUGACCAGGAGUACGUUAGACGUGUUGCAUAAUUUGUUGAAUGAUGUUGAAAAAAAAAAAAUCUUAUCGAAGGUCUUUUAAAAAUGAAUACUCGAAGAAUGUCGUGCUUUUAUUUUUUUCUUAUCGUUCUUGAUAAUUAUUGUAAAAAUAUUCUCGAUCAUCGAGAUUUUCAUUAGAGGAUAUUUUGUGUCGAAUGUUAAUUUAAGAAUAACACGAAGAAUAUACAAUUAUCCGGAUUAUUUCCGAUUUGUGAUAAUCGUGCGAAGUGAAUAAAUACACUUAUCUUA